CCCUUAGAUGUUCUGGGCCGCACGCGCGCUACACUGAUGAACGCAACGAGACGACCUGUACCGAAAGGCAUGGGUAAACUUGUGAAAGUUCAUCGUGAUGGGGAUAGAUUAUUGCAAUUAUUAAUCUUCAACGAGGAAUUCCUAGUAAGCGCGAGUCAUCAGCUCGCGUUGAUUACGUCCCUGCCCUUUGUACACACCGCCCGUCGCUCCUACCGAUGGGUGAUCCGGUGAAUGAUUCGGACUUCAGCGGCUCCCCUGGGGUGCGCCGGAGAAAGUUUUGUGAACCUUAUCACUUGGAGGAAGGAGAAGUCGUAACA
RNAcentral lists this ribosomal RNA (317 nucleotides) under uncultured eukaryote. RNAcentral describes it as "partial 18S ribosomal RNA". It matches the Rfam family "Eukaryotic small subunit ribosomal RNA", at positions 1470 to 1796 of the family's 1831-position model. The record is from RNAcentral.